CUUGAAGAGGUGAAGCUUUGUAUUAAGCAGACUGGAAUCACCAAGUAGGAGAAAAAUGUGUGACAGGGUGACUGAGGUUUCAUCUACAUGUCUGCAAAUGGGCAUUUCAUGGCUGGCAAGGUGUCACUGCCCAUUUGUGGGCUGGAGAAGCCCACCGAUACGUCCAUGGUUCCAAAGUACCUCCUCAAGGCCACCAGCGCAUAUCUACAGGAGCCCCAUAAUGCUGGAAUUCCAGCUNUGGAAGGAAGUGUGGCUGGAAUUCUGACUGUUGAGUUGGCUUNCGGCUGGGUCACCAGGCCAAAUGCCAGCCUGCAGUCGACUCUGCAGGAAGNGGUGUCCUGUUGAGAAAAGCCUAGAUGAGAUACAACAAGAGAAAGUGAUGCUUGCCUGAGAAGAUAC
This 399-nucleotide long non-coding RNA is filed under the name Salvator merianae (Argentine black and white tegu). Its description in RNAcentral is "lncRNA (ENSSMRG00000007160.1)". Lineage: Eukaryota; Metazoa; Chordata; Lepidosauria; Squamata; Teiidae. The record is from RNAcentral.